Non-coding RNA from Brassica napus (rape), 125 nucleotides. NCBI's taxonomy places the organism in Eukaryota, Viridiplantae, Streptophyta, Magnoliopsida, Brassicales, Brassicaceae. The record is from Rfam.
GGAAGUUAAGAAACUGCUUCUUAACUUUUAACUAAAAAAGAUAAGAACCGGUUCUUAAAUAAGGACUUUAAGAACCGGUUCUUAGCCUUUUUAGUUAAAAGUUAAGAAACAGUUUCUUAACUUCC